AUUGAACGCUGGCGGCAGGCCUAACACAUGCAAGUCGAGCGGAUGAAGGGAGCUUGCUCCUGGAUUCAGCGGCGGACGGGUGAGUAAUGCCUAGGAAUCUGCCUGGUAGUGGGGGAUAACGUCCGGAAACGGGCGCUAAUACCGCAUACGUCCUGAGGGAGAAAGUGGGGGAUCUUCGGACCUCACGCUAUCAGAUGAGCCUAGGUCGGAUUAGCUAGUUGGUGGGGUAAAGGCCUACCAAGGCGACGAUCCGUAACUGGACUGUGAGGAUGAUCGGUCACACUGGAACUGGGCCACGGACCAGGCUCCUACGGGAGGCAGCAGUGGGGAAUAUUGGGCAAUGGGCGAAAGCCUGAUCCAGCCAUGCCGCGUGUGUGAAGAAGGUCUUCGGAUUGUAAAGCACUUUAAGUUGGGAGGAAGGGCAGUAAGUUAAUACCUUGCUGUUUUGACGUUACCAACAGAAUAAGCACCGGCUAACUUCGUG
This 484-nucleotide ribosomal RNA is filed under the name uncultured bacterium. RNAcentral's name for it is "partial 16S ribosomal RNA". It matches the Rfam family "Bacterial small subunit ribosomal RNA", at positions 30 to 507 of the family's 1533-position model. The record is from RNAcentral.